CGGCGAGUAGCGCAGCUUGGUAGCGCAACUGGUGGGUGACCAGUGGGUCGGAGGUUCGAAUCCUCUCUCGCCGACCA
This 77-nucleotide transfer RNA is filed under the name Yersinia frederiksenii. Its description in RNAcentral is "tRNA-Thr(ggt)". It matches the Rfam family "tRNA". From Rfam's summary of the family: Transfer RNA (tRNA) molecules are approximately 80 nucleotides in length. Their secondary structure includes four short double-helical elements and three loops (D, anti-codon, and T loops). Further hydrogen bonds mediate the characteristic L-shaped molecular structure. tRNAs have two regions of fundamental functional importance: the anti-codon, which is responsible for specific mRNA codon recognition, and the 3' end, to which the tRNAs corresponding amino acid is attached (by aminoacyl-tRNA synthetases). tRNAs cope with the degeneracy of the genetic code in two manners: having more than one tRNA (with a specific anti-codon) for a particular amino acid; and 'wobble' base-pairing, i.e. permitting non-standard base-pairing at the 3rd anti-codon position. Lineage: Bacteria; Pseudomonadati; Pseudomonadota; Gammaproteobacteria; Enterobacterales; Yersiniaceae. The record is from RNAcentral.